CCCUUAGAUGUUCUGGGCCGCACGCGUGCUACACUGAGUGGAUCAGCGGGUCAGGUUGCGCGAAAGUGUUUCCUAAUCUUGAAAUCCGCUCGUGAUGGGGAUUGACGGUUGCAAUUUUUCGUCAUGAACGAGGAAUACCUUGUAAGCGCGGGUCAUCAUCCCGCGCUGAAUACGUCCCUGCCCUUUGUACACACCGCCCGUCGCUCCUACCGAUUGAGUGGUCCGGUGAGGCUUUGGGAUCUGAGCAAAAAGAGCGUUUCGCUCGUUUGGCUCGGAAAACUCAGUCGAACCUUAUCAUUUAGAGGAAGGAGAAGUCGUAACA
Molecule: ribosomal RNA, 322 nt
Filed under: uncultured eukaryote
Lineage: Eukaryota
Description: partial 18S ribosomal RNA
Rfam family: Eukaryotic small subunit ribosomal RNA
Source: RNAcentral